Tympanuchus pallidicinctus (lesser prairie-chicken) is the source of this 577-nucleotide long non-coding RNA. RefSeq lists it as uncharacterized. Lineage: Eukaryota; Metazoa; Chordata; Aves; Galliformes; Phasianidae. The transcript is spliced from 2 exons. The record is from RefSeq and is a predicted model, not a curated record.
AGCUGCCUACAAGAUGGAAGAAAAACGAAAGAGGGUAUUAGAAUAGUAAGAAAGGUAUCGAUGGCUUGUACUGAUUACACUUGCCAAGGUGGUGACGCACUGGAACAGGUUGCCCAAGGAGGUUGUGGACGCCCCAUCCCUGGAGGCAUUCAAGGCCAGGCUGGAUGUGGCUCUGGGCAGCCUGGUCUGGUGGUUGGUGACCCUGAACGUAGCAGGGGGGUUGAAACUAGAUGAUCAUUGCAGUCCUUUUCAACCCAGGCCAUUCUAUGAUAGUAUGAUUCCAUGAUAAGUUUCAUCAAUUAUAUACAUUAAGUAUUAGCAGGGCAAAAGACUACUUAGGCAUCUUUACGAUGGUUGCUGUUUCAAAUUCACCGUGGUUCCUCUAUUUUAGAUAACACCAGCAUUGCAAAGACUACACAGAUAUUGUGUAUCUCAGGUGCAUUUCUCAAUUCAAACCUCAAUACAUCAACUACCGUCAAAAAAAAAAACAAAACAAAGUGUCUCACUUUCUGCAACUUGAUUGAACAAGAAAACAUCCCCCAAAGAGUUUGAAAACAAUUCAGUUAUUAUAUACUUU